This 550-nucleotide ribosomal RNA is filed under the name uncultured Glomeromycotina. RNAcentral's name for it is "SSU rRNA". It matches the Rfam family "Eukaryotic small subunit ribosomal RNA", at positions 548 to 1098 of the family's 1831-position model. Lineage: Eukaryota; Fungi; Glomeromycota. The record is from RNAcentral.
UUGGAGGGCAGUCUGGUGCCAGCAGCCGCGGUAAUUCCAGCUCCAAUAGCGUAUAUUAAAGUUGUUGCAGUUAAAAAGCUCGUAGUUGAAUUUCGGGAUUCAUCCGUUGGUCGGGCUUCACGGUCCGUACUGGUGUGAUGGGUUCCUACCUUCUGAAUAACCGGCAUGCCAUUAAUUUGGUGCGCCGGGGAAGCAGAACGAUUACCUUGAAAAAAUUAGAGUGCUUAAAGCAGGCAAGUGCCUGAAUAGGUUAGCAUGGAAUAAUAAAAUAGGACGGCAUGGUUCUAUUUUGUUGGUUUCUAGGAUCACCGUAAUGAUUAAUAGGGAUAGUUGGGGGCAUUAGUAUUCAAUUGUCAGAGGUGAAAUUCUUGGAUUUAUUGAAGACUAACUUCUGCGAAAGCAUUUGCCAAGGAUGUUUUCAUUAAUCAAGAACGAAAGUUAGGGGAUCGAAGACGAUCAGAUACCGUCGUAGUCUUAACCAUAAACUAUGCCGACUAGGGAUCGGACGAUGUUAAUUUUUUAAUGACUCGUUCGGCGCCUUACGGGAAAC